RNAcentral lists this ribosomal RNA (2140 nucleotides) under Bacteroides sp. HMSC067B03. RNAcentral's name for it is "bacterial LSU rRNA". It matches the Rfam family "Bacterial large subunit ribosomal RNA", at positions 1 to 2157 of the family's 2925-position model. The record is from RNAcentral. Lineage: Bacteria; Pseudomonadati; Bacteroidota; Bacteroidia; Bacteroidales; Bacteroidaceae.
AAAGAAAGUAAGCAAGGGCGCAUGGCGGAUGCCUUGGCUCUCGGAGGCGAUGAAGGACGUGAUAAGCUGCGAUAAGCUCUGGGUAGGUGCAAAUAACCUUUGAUCCAGAGAUUUCCGAAUGGGACAACCCGGCAUUCUGAAGGAAUGUCAUCCAUCCUUGAUGGAAGCUAACGCAGGGAACUGAAACAUCUUAGUACCUGUAGGAAAAGAAAAUAAUAAUGAUUCCCCUAGUAGUGGCGAGCGAACGGGGAACAGCCCAAACCACCCAUGUUACGGCAUGUGUGGGGUUGUAGGACCACGAUAUCGCAAGACAUCUGAUGAAUAGAAUCCUCUGGAAAGUGGAACCAUAGACGGUGAUAGUCCUGUAUAUGAAGUCAGAUUAAGCGUAGUGGUAUCCUGAGUAGCGCGGGACACGAGAAAUCUUGCGUGAAUCUGCCGGGACCAUCCGGUAAGGCUAAAUACUCCCGAGAGACCGAUAGCGAACCAGUACUGUGAAGGAAAGGUGAAAAGCACUUCGAACAGAAGAGUGAAAUAGUCCCUGAAACCGUGCGCCUACAAGCGGUCGGAGCUGCGUAAGCAGUGACGGCGUGCCUUUUGCAUAAUGAACCUACGAGUUACUUUUUCCGGCAAGGUUAAGCAUCUUGAGAUGUGCAGCCGAAGCGAAAGCGAGUCUGAACAGGGCGUCGAGUCGGAAGGAGUAGACGCGAAACCAAGUGAUCUACCCUUGGUCAGGUUGAAGGUUAGGUAACACUAACUGGAGGACCGAACCGAUAAGCGUUGAAAAGCUUCCGGAUGAACUGAGGGUGGGGGUGAAAGGCUAAUCAAACUUGGAGAUAGCUCGUACUCCCCGAAAUGCAUUUAGGUGCAGCCUUGUGAGUUACUAAUGUGAGGUAGAGCGACUGAUAAGAUGCGAGGGCUUCACCGCCUAUCAAGUCUUGAUAAACUCCGAAUGCGCAUUAGUUCUAUCACAGGAGUGAGGGCAUGGGUGCUAAGGUCCAUGUCCUAAAGGAGAAGAAUCCAGACCAUCAGCUAAGGUCCCGAAAUAAACACUAAGUUGAACUAACGAAGUCAGAUUGCUAAGACAGCUAGGAUGUUGGCUUGGAAGCAGCCAUUCAUUUAAAGAGUGCGUAACAGCUCACUAGUCGAGGAGUUUGGCGUGGAUAAUAAUCGGGCAUCAAGUGUUUUACCGAAGCUAUGGGAUCAGUAAUGAUCGGUAGGGGAGCAUUCCACUCUGCGUCGAAGGUGAAGCGUGAGCUUUGCUGGAGCGUGUGGAAAAGCAAAUGUAGGUAUAAGUAACGAUAAAGGGGGUGAGAAACCCCCUCGCCGAAAGACUAAGGUUUCCUGAUCAACGCUAAUCGGAUCAGGGUUAGUCGGGUCCUAAGGCUCAGCCGAACGGUGAGGCCGAUGGCAGAACAGGUUAAUAUUCCUGUACUACCUUAAGGAGUGACGUGGAGACGGAGGCGUGACAGCGCCGCGGACUGACGGAAUAGUCCGUUGAAGGGUGUAGAUGUUGAUUAUCCCAGGCAAAUCCGGGAUAAGAGUCGAACCUGAUAGUAUGGAACGUUCUUCGGAACAAUCCAAUAGUGCGUGUAAUCAUACUCCCAAGAAAAUCCGCUAAACUUAAUCCUUAAGGUACCCGUACCGCAAACGGACACACGUAGUCGGGUUGAAUAUACUAAGGCGCUUGAGUGAUUCACGGUUAAGGAACUAGGCAAAUUGACCCUGUAACUUCGGGAUAAAGGGUCCCAACGAGAGUUGGGCGCAGAGAAUAGGUCCAGGCAACUGUUUAACAAAAACACAGGGCUGUGCGAAAUUGAAAGAUAAUGUAUACAGCCUGACACCUGCCCGGUGCUGGAAGGUUAAGAGGAGAUGUCAUCGCAAGAGAAGCAUUGAAUUGAAGCCCCAGUAAACGGCGGCCGUAACUAUAACGGUCCUAAGGUAGCGAAAUUCCUUGUCGGGUAAGUUCCGACCUGCACGAAUGGUGUAAUGAUCUGGACACUGUCUCAACCGUGAGCUCAGUGAAAUUGUAGUAUCGGUGAAGAUGCCGAUUACCCGCGAUGGGACGAAAAGACCCCGUGAACCUUUACUAUAGCUUAACAUUGAAUUUGGGUAAUUGAUGUGUAGGAUAGGCCGGAGACUU